CCAUUGGUAGUUCAGUGGUAGAGUCCUUGCUUUCACACUGGAGACCUGAGUUCAAAUCCCGGCCAAUGUG
RNAcentral lists this transfer RNA (70 nucleotides) under Loxodonta africana (African savanna elephant). It matches the Rfam family "tRNA". From Rfam's summary of the family: Transfer RNA (tRNA) molecules are approximately 80 nucleotides in length. Their secondary structure includes four short double-helical elements and three loops (D, anti-codon, and T loops). Lineage: Eukaryota; Metazoa; Chordata; Mammalia; Proboscidea; Elephantidae. The record is from Rfam by way of RNAcentral.